CCGAGUUUACAACUCCCAAACCCCUGUGAACAUACCAAUUGUUGCCUCGGCGGAUCAGCCCGCCCCCGGUAUAAACGGGACGGCCCCGCCAGAGGACCCCUAAACUCUGUUUUCUAUAUGUAACUUCUGAGUAAAACCAUAAAUAAAUCA
Molecule: unclassified non-coding RNA, 150 nt
Filed under: soil metagenome
Description: partial internal transcribed spacer 1
Source: RNAcentral